This is a long non-coding RNA of Daphnia carinata, 500 nucleotides long. RefSeq lists it as uncharacterized. The record is from RefSeq and is a predicted model, not a curated record. The transcript has 3 exons. Lineage: Eukaryota; Metazoa; Arthropoda; Branchiopoda; Diplostraca; Daphniidae.
AUAUAUUAAUUUAGUCAGCAAAAUAUGGAAUCUACAAACAACUGGGCGAUAAGUUACGUUCAGAUCCAAAGUCUCGCUGUGCGACAAAUCGUGACUGCAUCGAACUGGUGAAAUCUGAAAAGUACACCUAUAUUCAGGGUAUGUUUGGCGCUCUGAUGAUGAUCAAUCAAGAUUUUAAGGCUACAAAUAAAUGCAAUCUCGCCCUGGCUAGAAGAACAGAUCCAACUCCGGGAUCUUUGGCAUGGGUCCUGCCCAAAAAGAGUCCCAAUACCAAAAUCUUUGUUAAGGGAUUCAUGGAGCUGCAUCAAGCCGGAUUGAUUGAUUUUUGGACUCGACGUGAACAGGAAAAAAAUCAAAACGGCAAUUUUUGUCUCAAAGAGGCUAAGGAAAAGCAACGAGGCAAAUUAUUUGAUAACCGAACGAAAAUUUCAUUGAAGAAUUUCUCGGGAGCGUUUUACGUCUUAAUCUUUGGCAGUAUCGUGUCUUUCCUUUGUUUUGCC